ACUUCUCCUCAAUGGUGUUUCCUUCCCGCCUUUCCCACUUCUCACCAGCGUUACCUUCCCGCCAUUCCUACUUCUCCUCAACGACGUUACCUUCCCUCUGUUCCCACUUCUCACUGGCGUUACCUUCAUGCUGUUCCUACUUCUCCUCAUGCCAUUACCUUCCUGCCAUUCCCACUUCUCCUCACGCAUUACCUUCCUGCUGUUCCCAAUUCUCUCUGGCGUUACCUUCCUGCUGUUCUGCCGUUCACGCGUGUUUAUAUGUGUUUGCAUGUGUUUACAUGUGUUUGCAUGUGCCUGUGUCUGCAUAUGCGCAUUUCCCUGAAUCGACGGAGGGUGGCUUAUGUUCACCAGCUCAAUUAGACCUUGUUGCAAGGACAGAGGGCAUUCCGUAUCCAGGAUUCUUGCCUUGGUGCACCGGAAGAAUCGAAUCAAACCUGGGCUUGGAGAAUGACUGCAAUGUUUUAUUGCGUGGAGUUUUCCAGCUCUGGCUGUGACAAUGUGGAUUACUGGUGCCAUUGUUAAUUUUAGGUCCAUUUGACUGGGCUAAGGGAUGCCCAAGUAGCUGGUAAAAGAUUGUUUCUGGGUGUGUUUCUGGAAGAGAUCAGUGUUUGAAUCCAUAGACCGAGUCAAGAGGGUCUGCCCUCCCCAGUGUGGGCAUCAUGCAAUCUGCCAAGGACCUGCAUAGAACACAGACAUGGAGGACAGGAAAACUCUCUCUGCUGGAGGUGGAACAUCUCUCUUCUCCUGCCUUCAAACACUGGCCUCGGUGAUUCUUGGGCCUUCAAACUUGAACUGAAUUACACCGUGACCAGCUCUCCCUGUUCUCCAGCCUGCAGAUGGCAGACCAUGGGACUUCUCUGCCUUAAUAAUUAUGUGUGCCAAUUCCUAUAAUAGAUUUUCUCUCUCUCCAUCAAUAAUCAAUCAUGUAUCCAUCCAUCCAUCCAUCCUUCCCUGUCUCUCUAUCUUUCUAUCUAUCAUCUAUCUAUGUUAUGUUUAUCUAGAGAACCCUGACUAAUAAAAUUGGUUUUGAAUUUCAUUCUUUAAAGCAGUUAAAUUAAAAUGAAACAGAAAA
Long non-coding RNA from Homo sapiens (human), 1072 nucleotides. Ensembl annotates it as long intergenic non-protein coding RNA 1168. The record is from Ensembl. Lineage: Eukaryota; Metazoa; Chordata; Mammalia; Primates; Hominidae.